RNAcentral lists this ribosomal RNA (1554 nucleotides) under Escherichia coli. RNAcentral's name for it is "bacterial SSU rRNA". It matches the Rfam family "Bacterial small subunit ribosomal RNA". Lineage: Bacteria; Pseudomonadati; Pseudomonadota; Gammaproteobacteria; Enterobacterales; Enterobacteriaceae. The record is from RNAcentral.
UUAAUUGAAGAGUUUGAUCAUGGCUCAGAUUGAACGCUGGCGGCAGGCCUAACACAUGCAAGUCGAACGGUAACAGGAAGCAGCUUGCUGCUUUCUGACGAGUGGCGGACGGGUGAGUAAUGUCUGGGAAACUGCCUGAUGGAGGGGGAUAACUACUGGAAACGGUAGCUAAUACCGCAUAACGUCGCAAGACCAAAGAGGGGGACCUUCGGGCCUCUUGCCAUCGGAUGUGCCCAGAUGGGAUUAGCUUGUUGGUGGGGUAACGGCUCACCAAGGCGACGAUCCCUAGCUGGUCUGAGAGGAUGACCAGCCACACUGGAACUGAGACACGGUCCAGACUCCUACGGGAGGCAGCAGUGGGGAAUAUUGCACAAUGGGCGCAAGCCUGAUGCAGCCAUGCCGCGUGUAUGAAGAAGGCCUUCGGGUUGUAAAGUACUUUCAGCGGGGAGGAAGGGAGUAAAGUUAAUACCUUUGCUCAUUGACGUUACCCGCAGAAGAAGCACCGGCUAACUCCGUGCCAGCAGCCGCGGUAAUACGGAGGGUGCAAGCGUUAAUCGGAAUUACUGGGCGUAAAGCGCACGCAGGCGGUUUGUUAAGUCAGAUGUGAAAUCCCCGGGCUCAACCUGGGAACUGCAUCUGAUACUGGCAAGCUUGAGUCUCGUAGAGGGGGGUAGAAUUCCAGGUGUAGCGGUGAAAUGCGUAGAGAUCUGGAGGAAUACCGGUGGCGAAGGCGGCCCCCUGGACGAAGACUGACGCUCAGGUGCGAAAGCGUGGGGAGCAAACAGGAUUAGAUACCCUGGUAGUCCACGCCGUAAACGAUGUCGACUUGGAGGUUGUGCCCUUGAGGCGUGGCUUCCGGAGCUAACGCGUUAAGUCGACCGCCUGGGGAGUACGGCCGCAAGGUUAAAACUCAAAUGAAUUGACGGGGGCCCGCACAAGCGGUGGAGCAUGUGGUUUAAUUCGAUGCAACGCGAAGAACCUUACCUGGUCUUGACAUCCACGGAAGUUUUCAGAGAUGAGAAUGUGCCUUCGGGAACCGUGAGACAGGUGCUGCAUGGCUGUCGUCAGCUCGUGUUGUGAAAUGUUGGGUUAAGUCCCGCAACGAGCGCAACCCUUAUCCUUUGUUGCCAGCGGUCCGGCCGGGAACUCAAAGGAGACUGCCAGUGAUAAACUGGAGGAAGGUGGGGAUGACGUCAAGUCAUCAUGGCCCUUACGACCAGGGCUACACACGUGCUACAAUGGCGCAUACAAAGAGAAGCGACCUCGCGAGAGCAAGCGGACCUCAUAAAGUGCGUCGUAGUCCGGAUUGGAGUCUGCAACUCGACUCCAUGAAGUCGGAAUCGCUAGUAAUCGUGGAUCAGAAUGCCACGGUGAAUACGUUCCCGGGCCUUGUACACACCGCCCGUCACACCAUGGGAGUGGGUUGCAAAAGAAGUAGGUAGCUUAACCUUCGGGAGGGCGCUUACCACUUUGUGAUUCAUGACUGGGGUGAAGUCGUAACAAGGUAACCGUAGGGGAACCUGCGGUUGGAUCACCUCCUUACCUUAAAGAAGC